GAGUUUGAUCCUGGCUCAGAACGAACGCUGGCGGCAGGCCUAACACAUGCAAGUCGAGCGGGCGCGAGCGAUCGCGUCAGCGGCGCACGGGUGAGUAACGCGUGGGAACCUGCCCUUUGGUUCGGAACAACCCUGGGAAACUAGGGCUGAUACCGGAUGAUCCCCGUGAGGGGAAAGAUUUAUCGCCGAAGGAGGGGCCCGCGUCCGAUUAGCUAGUUGGUGGGGUAAUGGCCUACCAAGGCUGCGAUCGGUAGCUGGUCUGAGAGGACGACCAGCCACACUGGGACUGAGACACGGCCCAGACUCCUACGGGAGGCAGCAGUGGGGAAUCUUGGACAAUGGGGGAAACCCUGAUCCAGCCAUGCCGCGUGAGUGAUGAAGGCCCUAGGGUUGUAAAACUCUUUCGGCGGGGACGAUAAUGACGGUACCGCAGAAGAAGCUCCGGCUAACUUCGUGCCAGCAGCCGCAGUAAG
This 473-nucleotide ribosomal RNA is filed under the name uncultured Alphaproteobacteria bacterium. Its description in RNAcentral is "bacterial SSU rRNA". It matches the Rfam family "Bacterial small subunit ribosomal RNA", at positions 9 to 524 of the family's 1533-position model. Lineage: Bacteria; Pseudomonadati; Pseudomonadota; Alphaproteobacteria. The record is from RNAcentral.